CCCAUGGAUGAUGAAGACCUUAUCGAAAAGAUUCUCGAUGGACUUGAUGAUGAAUACAAAUUUAUUGUUGAUGCUAUUGAAGGAUGUGAGACUCUAAUUUCCUUUGAUGAACUUCAUGAAAAAAUGAUUAAUA
Molecule: small nucleolar RNA, 133 nt
Organism: Vitis riparia (riverbank grape)
Lineage: Eukaryota; Viridiplantae; Streptophyta; Magnoliopsida; Vitales; Vitaceae
Product: small nucleolar RNA Z247
Exons: 1
Source: RefSeq, a predicted model, not a curated record